GAUCCUGGCUCAGGAUGAACGCUAGCUACAGGCUUAACACAUGCAAGUCGAGGGGAAACGAUAGAGAAAGCUUGCUUUUUCUAGGCGUCGACCGGCGCACGGGUGAGUAACGCGUAUCCAACCUGCCCACCACUUGGGGAUAACCUUGCGAAAGUAAGACUAAUACCCAAUGAUAUCUCUAGAAGACAUCUGAAGGAGAUUAAAGAUUCAUCGGUGAUGGAUGGGGAUGCGU
This 232-nucleotide ribosomal RNA is filed under the name uncultured bacterium. RNAcentral describes it as "partial 16S ribosomal RNA". It matches the Rfam family "Bacterial small subunit ribosomal RNA", at positions 15 to 236 of the family's 1533-position model. The record is from RNAcentral.